RNAcentral lists this ribosomal RNA (372 nucleotides) under uncultured organism. RNAcentral describes it as "bacterial SSU rRNA". It matches the Rfam family "Bacterial small subunit ribosomal RNA", at positions 526 to 896 of the family's 1533-position model. The record is from RNAcentral.
CAGAGACUGCAAGCGUUAUUCGGAUUCACUGGGCGUAAAGGGUGCGCAGGCGGUCGGGUGUGUCAGAUGUGAAAUCCCGAGGCUCAACCUCGGAACUGCGUCUGAAACUACUCGACUAGGGUACUGGAGAGGGUAACGGAAUUCACGGUGUAGCAGUGAAAUGCGUAGAUAUCGUGAGGAACACCAGAGGCGAAGGCGGUUACCUGGACAGUUACUGACGCUCAGGCACGAAAGCAUGGGGAGCAAAAGGGAUUAGAUACCCCUGUAGUCCAUGCCCUAAACGGUGCACACUAGGUCUUAGCGGAUUCGACCCCACUAGGGCCCAAGCUAACGCGUUAAGUGUGCCGCCUGAGGACUACGGUCGCAAGACUA